GAUGAACGCUGGCGGCGUGCCUAAUACAUGCAAGUCGAGCGAACGGACGAGAAGCUUGCUUCUCUGAUGUUAGCGGCGGACGGGUGAGUAACACGUGGAUAACCUACCUAUAAGACUGGGAUAACUUCGGGAAACCGGAGCUAAUACCGGAUAAUAUUUUGAACCGCAUGGUUAAAAAUUGAAAGACGGUCUUGCUGUCACUUAUAGAUGUAUCCGCGCUGCAUUAGCUAGUUGGUAAGGUAACGGCUUACCAAGGCAACGUUGCAUAGCCGACCUGAGAGGGUGAUCGGCCACACUGGAACUGGGACACGGUCCAGACUCCUACGGGAGGAAGAAGUAGGAAAUCUUCCGCAAUGGGCGAAAGCCUGACGGAGAAACGCCGCGUGAGUGAUGAAGGUCUUCGGAUCUUAAACCUCUGUUAUAGGGGAAGACCAUAUGUGUAAGUAACUGUGCACAUCUUGACGGUACCUAAUCAGAAAGCCACGGCUAACUACGUG
This 497-nucleotide ribosomal RNA is filed under the name uncultured bacterium. Its description in RNAcentral is "partial 16S ribosomal RNA". It matches the Rfam family "Bacterial small subunit ribosomal RNA", at positions 28 to 507 of the family's 1533-position model. The record is from RNAcentral.